Molecule: ribosomal RNA, 1550 nt
Filed under: Klebsiella pneumoniae
Lineage: Bacteria; Pseudomonadati; Pseudomonadota; Gammaproteobacteria; Enterobacterales; Enterobacteriaceae
Description: bacterial SSU rRNA
Rfam family: Bacterial small subunit ribosomal RNA
Source: RNAcentral
AAAUUGAAGAGUUUGAUCAUGGCUCAGAUUGAACGCUGGCGGCAGGCCUAACACAUGCAAGUCGAGCGGUAGCACAGAGAGCUUGCUCUCGGGUGACGAGCGGCGGACGGGUGAGUAAUGUCUGGGAAACUGCCUGAUGGAGGGGGAUAACUACUGGAAACGGUAGCUAAUACCGCAUAAUGUCGCAAGACCAAAGUGGGGGACCUUCGGGCCUCAUGCCAUCAGAUGUGCCCAGAUGGGAUUAGCUAGUAGGUGGGGUAACGGCUCACCUAGGCGACGAUCCCUAGCUGGUCUGAGAGGAUGACCAGCCACACUGGAACUGAGACACGGUCCAGACUCCUACGGGAGGCAGCAGUGGGGAAUAUUGCACAAUGGGCGCAAGCCUGAUGCAGCCAUGCCGCGUGUGUGAAGAAGGCCUUCGGGUUGUAAAGCACUUUCAGCGGGGAGGAAGGCGUUAAGGUUAAUAACCUUGGCGAUUGACGUUACCCGCAGAAGAAGCACCGGCUAACUCCGUGCCAGCAGCCGCGGUAAUACGGAGGGUGCAAGCGUUAAUCGGAAUUACUGGGCGUAAAGCGCACGCAGGCGGUCUGUCAAGUCGGAUGUGAAAUCCCCGGGCUCAACCUGGGAACUGCAUUCGAAACUGGCAGGCUAGAGUCUUGUAGAGGGGGGUAGAAUUCCAGGUGUAGCGGUGAAAUGCGUAGAGAUCUGGAGGAAUACCGGUGGCGAAGGCGGCCCCCUGGACAAAGACUGACGCUCAGGUGCGAAAGCGUGGGGAGCAAACAGGAUUAGAUACCCUGGUAGUCCACGCCGUAAACGAUGUCGAUUUGGAGGUUGUGCCCUUGAGGCGUGGCUUCCGGAGCUAACGCGUUAAAUCGACCGCCUGGGGAGUACGGCCGCAAGGUUAAAACUCAAAUGAAUUGACGGGGGCCCGCACAAGCGGUGGAGCAUGUGGUUUAAUUCGAUGCAACGCGAAGAACCUUACCUGGUCUUGACAUCCACAGAACUUAGCAAAGAUGCUUUGGUGCCUUCGGGAACUGUGAGACAGGUGCUGCAUGGCUGUCGUCAGCUCGUGUUGUGAAAUGUUGGGUUAAGUCCCGCAACGAGCGCAACCCUUAUCCUUUGUUGCCAGCGGUCCGGCCGGGAACUCAAAGGAGACUGCCAGUGAUAAACUGGAGGAAGGUGGGGAUGACGUCAAGUCAUCAUGGCCCUUACGACCAGGGCUACACACGUGCUACAAUGGCAUAUACAAAGAGAAGCGACCUCGCGAGAGCAAGCGGACCUCAUAAAGUAUGUCGUAGUCCGGAUUGGAGUCUGCAACUCGACUCCAUGAAGUCGGAAUCGCUAGUAAUCGUAGAUCAGAAUGCUACGGUGAAUACGUUCCCGGGCCUUGUACACACCGCCCGUCACACCAUGGGAGUGGGUUGCAAAAGAAGUAGGUAGCUUAACCUUCGGGAGGGCGCUUACCACUUUGUGAUUCAUGACUGGGGUGAAGUCGUAACAAGGUAACCGUAGGGGAACCUGCGGUUGGAUCACCUCCUUACCUUAAAGAA